This 229-nucleotide ribosomal RNA is filed under the name uncultured bacterium. RNAcentral's name for it is "partial 16S ribosomal RNA". It matches the Rfam family "Bacterial small subunit ribosomal RNA", at positions 107 to 334 of the family's 1533-position model. The record is from RNAcentral.
UGAGUAACACGUAUCCAACCUGCCGUCUACUCUUGGACAGCCUUCUGAAAGGAAGAUUAAUACAAGAUGGCAUCAUGAGUCCGCAUGUUCACAUGAUUAAAGGUAUUUUCCGGUAGACGAUGGGGAUGCGUUCCAUUAGAUAGUAGGCGGGGUAACGGCCCACCUAGUCAACGAUGGAUAGGGGUUCUGAGAGGAAGGUCCCCCACAUUGGAACUGAGACACGGUCCAA